UACGGAGGGUGCAAGCGUUAUCCGGAUUUACUGGGUUUAAAGGGUGCGUAGGCGGACUUUUAAGUCAGGGGUGAAAUCCCGGGGACUCAACCCCGGAACUGCCUUUGAUACUAUUGGUCUUGAAUGUUGUGGAGGUGGGCGGAACGGGUCAUGUAGCGGUGAAAUGCAUAGAUAUGACCCGGAACACCGAUUGCGAAGGCAGCCCGCUACGCAACGAUUGACGCUGAGGCACGAAAGCGUGGGGAUCAAACAGGG
This 255-nucleotide ribosomal RNA is filed under the name uncultured bacterium. RNAcentral describes it as "partial 16S ribosomal RNA". It matches the Rfam family "Bacterial small subunit ribosomal RNA", at positions 524 to 777 of the family's 1533-position model. The record is from RNAcentral.